UACGUAGGGCGCAAGCGUUGUCCGGAAUUAUUGGGCGUAAAGAGCUCGUAGGCGGCCAGUUGCGUCUGCUGUGAAAUCCCGGGGCUCAACCCCGGGCGUGCAGUGGAUACGGGCUGGCUAGAGGCAGGCAGGGGAGAACGGAAUUCCCGGUGUAGCGGUGAAAUGCGCAGAUAUCGGGAGGAUCACCGGUGGCGAAGGCGGUUCUCUGGGCCUGUACUGACGCUGAGGAGCGAAAGCGUGGGGAGCGAACAGG
RNAcentral lists this ribosomal RNA (253 nucleotides) under uncultured bacterium. Its description in RNAcentral is "partial 16S ribosomal RNA". It matches the Rfam family "Bacterial small subunit ribosomal RNA", at positions 524 to 776 of the family's 1533-position model. The record is from RNAcentral.